Molecule: long non-coding RNA, 952 nt
Organism: Triticum aestivum (bread wheat)
Lineage: Eukaryota; Viridiplantae; Streptophyta; Magnoliopsida; Poales; Poaceae
Exons: 5
Source: RefSeq, a predicted model, not a curated record
AUCCUCGCGGCCGACACAGAAAAAUAAAAGAAAUCUAUCCUUCCGAGCGCCGCACGAGGCGCGAAGCUCAGAGCGGCGAUGGCGGAGGCGGGAGGCGACGGAUUCGAUUUCCCAUCAGAUCCAGUUGACAGAUUUCCCCUUGCCGGAUCUCGCCCGGGCGAAUCCUUGGUACGCAGCGAAGCAAAACAAUCACUGGUAUGCGCGGUCGCUCAAUCCAGCAAUAGUGGUGUGGACGAUGCGGCGGUGACAAGUAGAAUUUGACAGCGGUUCCAAAGGGACCCCCCUGUCGAAUUCAGAGCAUUCAGCAGGCAAAGAUGAUGCACAAGCCCCUGGCUCUGGCUGCACCAACAGUGCUCUGAAUUAUAGUGAACUCUUUAGCUCCUGAGCAUGACGGUCUGGGUUUAGAACAGAAUUGAGUUCAACAAGCCAAAAGCUCUGGAACGCAAACGGAAGGCCGGUUGACUAACAGCAGCAGAGACAAGCCUCCAUAUGAUGAUCACAGUGCAAAGAGCAAAAAAAGGCAAGCCAAAAAGGAGUAACACACGGUCUUGUCGCUGCGAGUGCCCUGCAAUGAUACGGUUGCUGCGGUCGAACGACAACGGCUGGCACAUAAGCGAGCACAGGCCAUCGCACAACAAUUUCUUCGGUUCAACGAGCAAUGCGCCUUUCAGCAAAAGGGCCUUGAGGGGACUGUGUGGGGAAAUCAUCAGAGAUUAGCUUCAGUUUGUUCAACAUAAUAUAUCAUCUUAUGUUAUUUGAGACAAUUAGUACCAUCUAAUGGUGGCUACGCAUGUUCUUCGAUAUUACUGCACCUUGUAGUUGCAUGGUGAUUUGAACAAAAAUGGACUUUCAUGUGCAGAUAUUCCUAAAUAUUACUAAACCUUCUAGUUGUAAGGUGAUUUGAACAAAUGGAUUUUCAGGGCAAGCUUCAGUUGAUUUUCCUAAGCCCAUU